This 1492-nucleotide ribosomal RNA is filed under the name uncultured Peredibacter sp. Its description in RNAcentral is "bacterial SSU rRNA". It matches the Rfam family "Bacterial small subunit ribosomal RNA". Lineage: Bacteria; Pseudomonadati; Bdellovibrionota; Bacteriovoracia; Bacteriovoracales; Bacteriovoracaceae. The record is from RNAcentral.
AGUUAGAUCAUGACGCGAACGAACGCUGCUGGCAUGCCUAAUACAUGCAAGUCGAACGAGAAAGCUCUUCGGAGUGAGUACAGUGGCGCACGGUUGAGUAUAUCGUAGGUGACGUGCCUUUAGUGGGGGACAACAUCGUGAAAACAGUGCUAAUACCGCAUAAGUUAAGCGACAUUGAAAAAGCUUAAGAAAGUGGGCUCCGGCUCACGCUGAAAGAUCGGCCUGCGUGACAUUAGUUUGAUGGUGGGGUAACGGCCUACCAUGGCGACGAUGUCUAACUGGUCUGAGAGGAUGAUCAGUCCACUGGAACUGAGACACGGUCCAGACUCCUACGGGAGGCAGCAGUAGGUAAUAUUGCGCAAUGGGGAAACCCUGACGCAGCAAUGCCACGUGAGUGAGGAAGGCCCUUGGGUUGUAAAGCUCUGUCCUAUAGGAAGAACUACGUUACGGUUAAUACCCGUAGCGUUUGACGGACUAUAGAAGAAAGCACCGGCUAACUCCGUGCCAGCAGCCGCGGUAAUACGGAGGGUGCAAGCGUACUUCGGAUUUACUGGGCGUAACGCGCGCAGGCGGAUUAGCAAGUCAGAUGUGAAAUCCCGGUACUCAACCCCGGAACUGCGUCUGAAACUGUUAGUCUAGAGUCUCAUAGGGGGCAGGGGAAUUUCACGUGUAGGGGUAAAAUCCGUAGAGAUGUGAAGGAACACCCGUGGCGAAGGAUCCUGCCUGGAUGAGUACUGACGCUGAGGCGCGAAGCGUGGGGAGCAAACAGGAUUAGAUACCCUGGUAGUCCACGCCGUAACGAUGAGUACUAGCCCUUGGAGGUAUUGACCCAGUCAGGAGCGCAGCUAACGCAUUAAGUACUCCGCCUGGGAAGUACGGCCGCAAGGCUAAAACUCAAAGGAAUUGACGGGGGCCCGCACAAGCCCUGGAUUAUGUGGUUUAAUUCGAAGCAACGCGCAGAAUAUUACCUAGGCUUGAAAUCCUGCGAAUCUGGGGUAAUGCCCGGAGUGCCCGCAUCGGAAUGCAGUGACAGUGCUGCAUGAUUGUCGGCAGCUCGUGUUGUGAAAUGUUGGGUUAAGUCUCGCAACGAGCGCAACCCCUAUCUGUAGUUGCCAGCAUUAAGUUGGGCACUCUAGAGAGACUGCCCGGGUUAACCGGGAGGAAGGUGGCAGGACGUCAAGUCCUCAUGGCCCUUAUGUUAGGGCUACACACGUAAUACAAUGGUGCAAACAAAGGGAAGCGAGCGCGCGAGUGUUAGCAAAUCUCAAAAAUUGCAUCUCAGUCCGGAUUGGAGUCUGCAACUCGACUCCAUGAAGUUGGAAUCGCUGACUAUCGCGGAUCAGCACGCCGCGGUGAAUACGUUCCCGGGCCUUGUACACACCGCCCGUCACACCAUGGGAGUUGUUUUCAUCCUAAGACGUGACUCUAACUUCGGCUCGAGCGUCUACGGUGGGAGUGAUGACUGGGGUGAAGUCGUAACAAGGUAGCAGAA